UUAGGUUUUAAAACCCAGAAGCUGGAAACACUGCUUUAUCAAAGAGAAUUUCCCUUUAGCUUAGCAAUGUGCUGAAGCUCUUAAAAGAUUGGAUCUGAGAGAGAGAGAGAGAGAGAGAGAAAGAGAGAGAGAGAGACAGACAGAGAGGAGAAGGAGAACUAGACAGAAAGAGGCAGACGAGGAAAAAAGACUUUCUUUUUCUUUCUAGAGGAAUUCUGCCCAGACCCAGCAGCAGUUGGUAGCAAGCAAGCUUUCUCCUGGGUGUCUCCUGGAAAAGUUGCAAAAUUGCUCUUCACCUGUAAGAACAUGCUCUUUAUCUUCCAGUCUCUUCUUGUCAAUUUGGAAACUGCAGACAGCCUGGCUCAGAAGAGAAGACUUGGGGUUCAGAGCCGCCCCCCCUCUCCUGCAGUGGAAAUGGACUUCCCUCGGGUCCAGUACAGAACUUCCCACACAGGCGGGUGGGUGAGUGCCCUUGGCGUUGCCCUCAUUGAUCCGGCUGGACACCAGAAACAGAUAAUCUGGUGAGCAGCUGAGGCACAGACUACCUGGGCUCCCACUUAGAGGCUGAUAUAGGACUGAAGAAGCAGCUGCUCUGUCAAACCUAGAGGUGAGUACAUAGCUCAUCUGAGAUAAUUCUCCUUUACAAAGAGCAGUUAGGGUCUUUUACCAAAACUAUGCUUCAUGCACCAUGUGCAUCAUCAAAUGGGUAAAGAAUUAGGCAUUUAGGAGUUCCCAUCAUGGCACAGGGGUUAAUGAAUCCGACUAGGAACCAUGAGGUUGCGGGUUCGGUCCCUGCCCUUGCUCAGUGGGUUAACGAUCCGGCAUUGCCACGAGCUGUGGUGUAGGUCGCAGACGUGGCUCAGAUCCCGCGUUGCUGUGGCCGCUACGCCAGCGGCCACAGCUCCGAUUUGACCCCUAGCCUGGGAACCUCCAUAUGCCAGGGGCGCGGCCCAGGAAAUAGCAAAAAAAAGACAAAAAUAAAUAAAUAAAUAAAUAAAUAAAAUAAAAUAAA
This 1012-nucleotide long non-coding RNA is filed under the name Sus scrofa (pig). RNAcentral's name for it is "lncRNA (ENSSSCG00070030574.1)". Lineage: Eukaryota; Metazoa; Chordata; Mammalia; Artiodactyla; Suidae. The record is from RNAcentral.